AGCACCAUAUAGUUACACUCCAUAGCCUCUAGAUCAGUGGUUUUCCACCUUCCUAAUUCUGUGACCCUUCAAUGCAGUUCCUUUUGUUCUGGUGACCCCUGAGAUAAGAAUGUUUGAUCAGAAUUGCUUUGGAAAUUAUACCAAUGGUCUCCUUGUCACCUGAGGAGAAUCAUUCCUGUCUGUAUUGAGUAAAGAUCUGUGCAAGCUCGGCACAUGGUGUGGAAGAGGAAGAAGAGGAUGAACAUGUGAACUGCAGGAAGAGAGCUGGGUCAUCUCCUGCAGAUGGGUGAGUUUGUCAUUUUUGGAAGAAGUGUAUCAUCACUGGUGAUGGACUUUGGAGUUUCCUGUGCCCUGGAUACUGCCAAGCAUAUCAGUCAACUUCCUGUGGCAUGCAUAUCAAGAUGUAGCCAGCACCACAUUAUCCUUUACAUCUUACUCUCCCCUAUGAUGACAAUGGACUGAAUCUC
Mesocricetus auratus (golden hamster) is the source of this 467-nucleotide long non-coding RNA. RefSeq lists it as uncharacterized. Lineage: Eukaryota; Metazoa; Chordata; Mammalia; Rodentia; Cricetidae. The transcript has 4 exons. The record is from RefSeq and is a predicted model, not a curated record.